UGGCUUGAGGUUUCCUCAGAGACCCUUUCC
RNAcentral lists this non-coding RNA (30 nucleotides) under Rattus norvegicus (Norway rat). Lineage: Eukaryota; Metazoa; Chordata; Mammalia; Rodentia; Muridae. The record is from RNAcentral.